This 275-nucleotide ribosomal RNA is filed under the name uncultured bacterium. Its description in RNAcentral is "partial 16S ribosomal RNA". It matches the Rfam family "Bacterial small subunit ribosomal RNA", at positions 524 to 776 of the family's 1533-position model. The record is from RNAcentral.
GACGUAGGGCGCAAGCGUUGUCCGGAUUUAUUGGGCGUAAAGAGCUCGUAGGCGGCUUGUCGCGUCGACCGUGAAAACCCGCAGCUCAACUGCGGGCUUGCGGUCGAUACGGGCAGGCUCGAGUUCGGUAGGGGAGACUGGAAUUCCUGGUGUAGCGGUGAAAUGCGUAGAGAUCCGGAAGAACACCGGUGGCGAAGGCGGCCCGCUGGGCAGGAAGGUGAGGAGCAAUCCUCACCGGCUGACGCUGAGGCGCGACAGCGUGGGGAGCAAACAGG